AGCGAACGCUGGCGGCAGGCCUAACACAUGCCAGUCGAACGAACCUUUCGGGGUUAGUGGCGGACGGGUGAGUAACACGUGGGAACGUGCCUUUAGGUUCGGAAUAACUCAGGGAAACUUGUGCUAAUACCGAAUGUGCCCUUCGGGGGAAAGAUUAAUCGCCUUUAGAGCGGCCCGCGUCUGAUUAGCUAGUUGGUUGAGGUAAUGGCUCACCAAGGCGACGAUCAGUAGCUGGUCUGAGAGGAUGAUCAGCCACAUUGGGACUGAGACACGGCCCAAACUCCUACGGGAGGCAGCAGUGGGGAAUCUUGCGCAAUGGGCGAAAGCCUGACGCAGCCAUGCCGCGUGAAUGAUGAAGGUCUUAGGAUUGUAAAAUUCUUUCACCGGGGACGAUAAUGACGGUACCCGGAGAAGAAGUCCCGGCUAACUUCGUG
This 434-nucleotide ribosomal RNA is filed under the name uncultured bacterium. RNAcentral's name for it is "partial 16S ribosomal RNA". It matches the Rfam family "Bacterial small subunit ribosomal RNA", at positions 29 to 507 of the family's 1533-position model. The record is from RNAcentral.